This 2308-nucleotide ribosomal RNA is filed under the name Escherichia coli. RNAcentral's name for it is "partial 23S ribosomal RNA". It matches the Rfam family "Bacterial large subunit ribosomal RNA", at positions 418 to 2710 of the family's 2925-position model. The record is from RNAcentral. Lineage: Bacteria; Pseudomonadati; Pseudomonadota; Gammaproteobacteria; Enterobacterales; Enterobacteriaceae.
CGGGACACGUGGUAUCCUGUCUGAAUAUGGGGGGACCAUCCUCCAAGGCUAAAUACUCCUGACUGACCGAUAGUGAACCAGUACCGUGAGGGAAAGGCGAAAAGAACCCCGGCGAGGGGAGUGAAAAAGAACCUGAAACCGUGUACGUACAAGCAGUGGGAGCACAGAGCAAUCUGUGUGACUGCGUACCUUUUGUAUAAUGGGUCAGCGACUUAUAUUCUGUAGCAAGGUUAACCGAAUAGGGGAGCCGAAGGGAAACCGAGUCUUAACUGGGCGUUAAGUUGCAGGGUAUAGACCCGAAACCCGGUGAUCUAGCCAUGGGCAGGUUGAAGGUUGGGUAACACUAACUGGAGGACCGAACCGACUAAUGUUGAAAAAUUAGCGGAUGACUUGUGGCUGGGGGUGAAAGGCCAAUCAAACCGGGAGAUAGCUGGUUCUCCCCGAAAGCUAUUUAGGUAGCGCCUCGUGAAUUCAUCUCCGGGGGUAGAGCACUGUUUCGGCAAGGGGGUCAUCCCGACUUACCAACCCGAUGCAAACUGCGAAUACCGGAGAAUGUUAUCACGGGAGACACACGGCGGGUGCUAACGUCCGUCGUGAAGAGGGAAACAACCCAGACCGCCAGCUAAGGUCCCAAAGUCAUGGUUAAGUGGGAAACGAUGUGGGAAGGCCCAGACAGCCAGGAUGUUGGCUUAGAAGCAGCCAUCAUUUAAAGAAAGCGUAAUAGCUCACUGGUCGAGUCGGCCUGCGCGGAAGAUGUAACGGGGCUAAACCAUGCACCGAAGCUGCGGCAGCGACACUGUGUGUUGUUGGGUAGGGGAGCGUUCUGUAAGCCUGUGAAGGUGUGCUGUGAGGCAUGCUGGAGGUAUCAGAAGUGCGAAUGCUGACAUAAGUAACGAUAAAGCGGGUGAAAAGCCCGCUCGCCGGAAGACCAAGGGUUCCUGUCCAACGUUAAUCGGGGCAGGGUGAGUCGACCCCUAAGGCGAGGCCGAAAGGCGUAGUCGAUGGGAAACAGGUUAAUAUUCCUGUACUUGGUGUUACUGCGAAGGGGGGACGGAGAAGGCUAUGUUGGCCGGGCGACGGUUGUCCCGGUUUAAGCGUGUAGGCUGGUUUUCCAGGCAAAUCCGGAAAAUCAAGGCUGAGGCGUGAUGACGAGGCACUACGGUGCUGAAGCAACAAAUGCCCUGCUUCCAGGAAAAGCCUCUAAGCAUCAGGUAACAUCAAAUCGUACCCCAAACCGACACAGGUGGUCAGGUAGAGAAUACCAAGGCGCUUGAGAGAACUCGGGUGAAGGAACUAGGCAAAAUGGUGCCGUAACUUCGGGAGAAGGCACGCUGAUAUGUAGGUGAAGUCCCUCGCGGAUGGAGCUGAAAUCAGUCGAAGAUACCAGCUGGCUGCAACUGUUUAUUAAAAACACAGCACUGUGCAAACACGAAAGUGGACGUAUACGGUGUGACGCCUGCCCGGUGCCGGAAGGUUAAUUGAUGGGGUCAGCGCAAGCGAAGCUCUUGAUCGAAGCCCCGGUAAACGGCGGCCGUAACUAUAACGGUCCUAAGGUAGCGAAAUUCCUUGUCGGGUAAGUUCCGACCUGCACGAAUGGCGUAAUGAUGGCCAGGCUGUCUCCACCCGAGACUCAGUGAAAUUGAACUCGCUGUGAAGAUGCAGUGUACCCGCGGCAAGACGGAAAGACCCCGUGAACCUUUACUAUAGCUUGACACUGAACAUUGAGCCUUGAUGUGUAGGAUAGGUGGGAGGCUUUGAAGUGUGGACGCCAGUCUGCAUGGAGCCGACCUUGAAAUACCACCCUUUAAUGUUUGAUGUUCUAACGUGGACCCGUGAUCCGGGUUGCGGACAGUGUCUGGUGGGUAGUUUGACUGGGGCGGUCUCCUCCUAAAGAGUAACGGAGGAGCACGAAGGUUGGCUAAUCCUGGUCGGACAUCAGGAGGUUAGUGCAAUGGCAUAAGCCAGCUUGACUGCGAGCGUGACGGCGCGAGCAGGUGCGAAAGCAGGUCAUAGUGAUCCGGUGGUUCUGAAUGGAAGGGCCAUCGCUCAACGGAUAAAAGGUACUCCGGGGAUAACAGGCUGAUACCGCCCAAGAGUUCAUAUCGACGGCGGUGUUUGGCACCUCGAUGUCGGCUCAUCACAUCCUGGGGCUGAAGUAGGUCCCAAGGGUAUGGCUGUUCGCCAUUUAAAGUGGUACGCGAGCUGGGUUUAGAACGUCGUGAGACAGUUCGGUCCCUAUCUGCCGUGGGCGCUGGAGAACUGAGGGGGGCUGCUCCUAGUACGAGAGGACCGGAGUGGACGCAUCACU